UACGUAGGGGGCAAGCGUUGUCCGGAUUUAUUGGGCGUAAAGAGCGUGUAGGCGGUUUGGUAGGUCCGCUGUGAAAACUCGAGGCUCAACCUCGAGACGCCGGUGGAAACCAUCAGGCUAGAGUCCGGAAGAGGAGACUGGAAUUCCUGGUGUAGCGGUGAAAUGCGCAGAUAUCAGGAGGAACACCGAUGGCGAAGGCAGGUCUCUGGGCCACUACUGACGCUGAGAAGCGAAAGCAUGGGGAGCGAACAGG
This 253-nucleotide ribosomal RNA is filed under the name uncultured bacterium. RNAcentral's name for it is "partial 16S ribosomal RNA". It matches the Rfam family "Bacterial small subunit ribosomal RNA", at positions 524 to 776 of the family's 1533-position model. The record is from RNAcentral.